Prionailurus viverrinus (fishing cat) is the source of this 107-nucleotide small nuclear RNA. NCBI's taxonomy places the organism in Eukaryota, Metazoa, Chordata, Mammalia, Carnivora, Felidae. The record is from RefSeq and is a predicted model, not a curated record.
AUGGUCACUUCGGCAGCACAUACACUAAAAUUGGAACGACACAGAGAAGAUUAGCAUGGCCCCUGUGCAAGGAUGACAUGCAGAUUUGUGAAACUUCCAUAUUUUUA